AGCUGAUGGUUGAGAGUCAACAUUAGGGUUUUACUUCAGACGUAAGCUAAACAUGGCCCUCUCCCUUACAUACUAUUAACAUCUUGCUAAGAGAGUGUUUCCUGUUCACAGCAUGUACUGGAAUGAAUCUUGUUGAGCGACUCAUAAUCCAGGACUGAAGUUCCUCUGUGUAUCUGUAAAUUAAACUGCAAAAUGAAGAAGGAAGAAACUUAGCAUAGGGUUAUAUGUAAUGACAACUUGUCAAUGGGGAGGGAAUAGAAGCUUCAUCUACAAUUUAACAGCAGUUUUCCAGUGAAGCUCUCUUCCCAGGACAGGCAAGAGUAUCUAAUAAGGGAGCAGGAAUGGAGAUGGCAGGAGGCAGAGGAGAAGAGAAAACUCCUGAUGAAGAAAGAAGGAAGAAGCAAGCAGAAAUGUUUCAAGAAUCCAGGAAGCAGAUCUGUGAUUUCACCAAUGCAGAGUGGACAGCUUCUUAUGAAAAAUGGCAUUCUAUAUGGCUCCUGGAAGUCAGGGAUAAUCUCUUCCAGGAUCUACGGAGGCCUUAUGUCAUUGAUUUCCAGGUUAUCUACCGCCUACAGAGAGCAGCUCUCAGAUUAUUCAUCAUGAAGGAGUGACCACAAAGGCUUAAAUAACUGCAGCACGGACUUCAGCAGACUCUAAUAUCUGGCAUAAGCCUUCUGUGAGCCAAUGAUUGGAAGGAACAUCGAAGACCAUCAAGUCCAUGUCCCAGCUGAAAAAAAGAGGCCAUCCACCAUAAAAUGAGAGAGAGACAGAGAGAGGGAGAGAAAGGAAAGGAGGGAGGGAGAGAGGGAGAGGGAGAGAGAGAGAGAUAGCGCUCAUCUAGCCUCUACCUGCAGAUCUUCAGUGAUGGGGAACCCAUGACCUCCCAAGUCAGCCCAUCGCACUUCUAGAAAGCUCCAAAUAAAGAAGUGUAUCCUUUUCA
RNAcentral lists this long non-coding RNA (940 nucleotides) under Phascolarctos cinereus (koala). Its description in RNAcentral is "lncRNA (ENSPCIG00000013687.2)". Lineage: Eukaryota; Metazoa; Chordata; Mammalia; Diprotodontia; Phascolarctidae. The record is from RNAcentral.